This 266-nucleotide unclassified non-coding RNA is filed under the name Hevea brasiliensis (rubber tree). Lineage: Eukaryota; Viridiplantae; Streptophyta; Magnoliopsida; Malpighiales; Euphorbiaceae. The record is from RNAcentral.
GAAAUUUUUGAGGGGUCUACCAUACAACUAACACUCAUGACAAUAAGGCCAAAACACAUGCAAACUGUCCCUUCAAGGCACCCUGGAAUUCUGAGUUUCCCCAGGAUUAUGCUACCUUUCCUUAGAAUUUUUUUGCCUUCACAGCAAGUUUCUUCAAUUCAGUCCGUACUCUUUUCCUCCCUCAAAGAGAGACAAAAAUAAAAUUUAAUUUGUCUUCAUUUCUUUUUCUCCCUCAGCUGGCUAGAAUUUCCAUGGCCGACCAUCCA